UACGUAGGGUGCAAGCGUUGUCCGGAAUUAUUGGGCGUAAAGAGCUCGUAGGCGGUCUGUCGCGUCUGCUGUGAAAAUCCAGGGCUCAACCCUGGACCUGCAGUGGGUACGGGCAGACUAGAGUGCGGUAGGGGAGAUCGGAAUUCCUGGUGUAGCGGUGAAAUGCGUAGAUAUCUGGAGGAACACCGGUGGCGAAGGCGGCAUCCUGGACCGACACUGACGCUGAGGCGCGAAAGCUAGGGGAGCAAACGGG
This 253-nucleotide ribosomal RNA is filed under the name uncultured bacterium. Its description in RNAcentral is "partial 16S ribosomal RNA". It matches the Rfam family "Bacterial small subunit ribosomal RNA", at positions 524 to 776 of the family's 1533-position model. The record is from RNAcentral.